UUCCGGUUGAUCCUGCCGGAGGCUACCGCUAUUGGAGUUCGAUUAAGCCAUGCGAGUCGAGAGUCUUAGGGACUCGGCGUACCGCUCAGUAACACGUGGGUAACCUGCCCUAUGCUGGGGAAUAACCUCGGGAAACUGAGAAUAAUGCCCCAUAGUCCACCAUGCCUGGAACGGUUGGUGGAUCAAAGCUCCGGCGGCAUAGGAUGGGCCUGCGGCGUAUCAGGUCGUAGGGGGUGUAACGUACCCUCUAGCCAUCGACGCGUACGGGUGUUGGGAGACAUAGCCCGGAGAUGGAUUCUGAGACACGAAUCCAGACCCUACGGGGUGCAGCAGGCGCGAAAACUUGGCAAUGCGAGAAAUCGUGACCAGGGAACUCCAAGUGGCUGGGGUAAGACCCAGUCUUUUCUUGACUCUUCAACGGUCUUGGAAUAAGGGGUGGGUAAGGACGGUGCCAGCCGCCGCGGUAAUACCGGCGCCUCAAGUGGUAGUCGAUUUUAUUGGGCCUAAAACGUCCGUAGCCUGUUUGGUACAUUCGUGGGUAAAUCAACCAGCUCAACUGAUUGAAUUCUGCGAGCACGGCCAGACUUGGGACCGGGAGAGGUGUGGGGUACGCUCAGGGUAGGGGU
This 626-nucleotide ribosomal RNA is filed under the name uncultured archaeon. Its description in RNAcentral is "bacterial SSU rRNA". It matches the Rfam family "Archaeal small subunit ribosomal RNA", at positions 1 to 633 of the family's 1478-position model. The record is from RNAcentral.